RNAcentral lists this ribosomal RNA (253 nucleotides) under uncultured bacterium. RNAcentral's name for it is "partial 16S ribosomal RNA". It matches the Rfam family "Bacterial small subunit ribosomal RNA", at positions 524 to 776 of the family's 1533-position model. The record is from RNAcentral.
UACGUAGGGCGCAAGCGUUAUCCGGAAUUAUUGGGCGUAAAGAGCUCGUAGGCGGUUUGUUGCGUCUGCCGUGAAAGUCCGGGGCUCAACUCCGGAUCUGCGGUGGGUACGGGCAGACUAGAGUGAUGUAGGGGAGACUGGAAUUCCUGGUGUAGCGGUGAAAUGCGCAGAUAUCAGGAGGAACACCGAUGGCGAAGGCAGGUCUCUGGGCAUUAACUGACGCUGAGGCGCGAAAGCUAGGGGAGCAAACAGG